GGAAACGCCCGGACCCAUCCCGAACCCGGAAGCUAAGCCAGCCAGCGCCGAUGAUACUACCCAACAGGGUGGAAAAGUAGGACACCGCCGAAC
Molecule: ribosomal RNA, 93 nt
Filed under: Mycobacterium sp.
Lineage: Bacteria; Bacillati; Actinomycetota; Actinomycetes; Mycobacteriales; Mycobacteriaceae
Source: RNAcentral